Long non-coding RNA from Dermochelys coriacea (leatherback sea turtle), 4872 nucleotides. RefSeq lists it as uncharacterized. NCBI's taxonomy places the organism in Eukaryota, Metazoa, Chordata, Testudines, Dermochelyidae. The transcript has 2 exons. The record is from RefSeq and is a predicted model, not a curated record.
UGAUGCAAAAUUGCCACCCUUAAAUCUUUUACUGAGUGGCCAGAGAGGUUGAAGUAUUCUCGUACCGGUUUUUGAAUGUUAUGAUUCCUGAUGUCAGAUUUUUAUCCAUUUAUUCUUUUGCGUAGAGACAAUCUGGUUUGGCCAACAACUUCUGUCUCCUCCCCUAGUUUUUAACUCCUUCCUGUGGGCCAAAACCUAAAGUAGGAUCCAUGCCUGCAUCUUUAGGAAAGAGAAGUACCUUUGACUUCUAGUAGCAUUCCUUACAAUCCACCACUAUUAUGGUCAUAUUUUUUUUUUCAAAUACUUAACUGUUUAAUCAUAUUUUUAUCUUUGUGUCUGACAGGUUGGCAGGAUUUGUGUAUUUUGUUAACAUAUUGAGCCAGAAAACAUCAGCUGUUCCUGGAGAGUUAUGGCAUGACAGCUGUCUUAGUGUGGUCCAAGGUGAAAGACAGUCAUUAUGUGGCACAAUACUUUAUUUUGAAUGCCUGUUUACAAAAGCAUAAGAAAUGCAUGAUAGAAAUGUCCUUUGUUUUGUUCUCUAUUUCUAGAAGGUUUGUGAAGCAGGAUGAUGUGGUAACAGUUGUUUGAUCAGAAUGUUGUCCUCAUGGAGUGAAGGCCAUUUGAGGUCUGAUGACUUGACUGUCCAAAGGAAAUUAGAUUAUUUUUUUUAAAGAUGGAAUCAGUUUUAAGAGUUUCUUUUAUAAAUGUUGACUCACUGAUGUGUGCAAUCAUGCCAUCGUGUGGUAAGCUAAACAAUGUGAGGCUGAGUCAUUGCUCUGCAGGAGACCUCCAAGGCACACCUGGAUGGGCUGCAAGACAUGGAGUUAAUGAUUCUGCAUGUGUUAUUCUUUCCUUUGAGUUAAUAUUAAACUAAUUCCACAGCGUGGUGUCAGGAGGGUCUGAGCUGCUCAAGACACUGUUUAAUUUGUGCAAGUGGUAGGACCUCAGUUUUAGAUCUCAUCUGAGAAAUCAAUCAAUGCACACGUUUUUGUUUGCAAGAGGAGGAUUCUGAGCCCUAGUGUUCUGGUCAAAUUACAACUCCAGCAAUUGCAUUCUGAGAAACCACAUUCCACCUGCAGAUUCAAUUGGAAAAAAUAUCCUUUAACUCUUGCCUUAAAUCAUUUUGUAGUGUUGUUGUAAACUGAUAGGGUAAAAUACUGUAAACCCUUAACUACAUUUCAGAGGUGGAUGAGAUUAUCCCUCUGGGUACCAUUUUAACUUUAUAAAGCAAUUUGCAAUGCAUCAGGAUUGAAGUGUGACUCUAAUGUUAGUUUAUUAUAAUUAGCUGAGCAGGUAGGCGCUUGAAGAUGCUGAGGCUUUUUUCAUGUGAAAAUACAAAUGCAGUUGCAUUCUCAAACCUUUCCUCACUGAUUUUUAUAGUAUGUCUGAUUGCCUCUUCCAACAACUCUAAGUCUAGUAAGACUUGAAAUAUUCUUGAAAGAUUCUUUCCAUUUUAGGUUUCAAAGAAAGUCUACUAAGAACUAGCUUUAAAUACCAAGAAUGCCCUCCUGCAAACCUGACAGUGCCGUUUUAAGGGCUUAGCUAGAAACAAAAAUUCAGAACAACUGCCUAGGUUUCUUGUCUGCAUCUGAGAGGGGAAUCUGAUGCUACCUGAAGUCCGCCAAAAUUACAUUUUCUGGAGCCAUCCAUGCUUAAGUUCACAAAUGCAAGUUGUAUAGCGUGCAUUCAGUACUUUCACUAAUGUUAAAAUUUGACCUGGAAUUUGACACUCUGUAUACAAUAAAAUAUAACUUAGCAUUUAAAACUAAAAAUAUGCGCCACAUAAUUGAUAUAGCUAGUGUCCUAAUGCUAAAGACAGUUGGAAAAGUAGCUUGGGAUUUGGCAGUGUGACUUGCUGAAAUCAAAGUGAUUUAAAUUGCCAAUUUUAAUCAUGAUUUGAAUUAGCAAUCGGGAAACUUUCAUUUAAAUCCUCGAUUUUAUUUGUACUUUUUAGUUACUUUCCUAAAAAAGGGUUGAUUCUCAUUGGGUGGUAACCAUUAAAACAUGUUGUUUGCAAUUAAAUAUAGCUUUUACACUAACUUUGGUGCUACUUUUUGGUUAACAAGGUUGAUAUACAGAUUUAAGCAAUUAUAUCUCUUAGAUUUAUUCAGUCUUAAUUUUUAAAUUUUUGAUUGUAAGAAAAUGGUGAAUGAUUCAUUUCUUAUUUACUAGAUAAUUAAUUUUCUACUUGUGAUUUGUGUCCAGCUCAAAAUGCAUAAAAUCGUUUCUGUUUUAAUCAAUUAAAACAAUCUUAAAUGUGCUGAUACAUAAUCUUUUUUCUUAUCAAAACAUGUUUGCCAUUUAAAACUAAAUUUUUUUUAAACAAAGGAAGCAUUAUCCAUAUUUAGUAAAUUGAACUGGUCACCAUGCUUUUCAAGAUUUCCAUAGAUGUCAUUUCUCAGGCCUCAUUUUGAUUUAUAGAUUGGAAGAGGAGAACAAGCAUUCUUGCUUUUUCAACUCCCAGUUGAUUUUUAAAGUUUGAAUGAACUAAUAAUUGAACUGAAUAGUUGAAUCAACUGAAAUGAAGGAAAUGUUCUCUCUGCACCUGCAGAAGAGGCUACUGCUGUCAAAAGCUGACUUAGCACUUCAACAGACUCUGGUUCCAGAUGCAAGUUGUGACGGUUCUAGGGGCACCCAGGCUUAAGAGUGACCUUGUUGUCACCACCCACCAGUGUGAGGGGGUUUUGCCUGUUCCAGCUGAGUGUUGGCUCCCUAACACAACCAGUCACUCAAGCACUCUCCUCUGGGCUAUACCAGCCCUGCCUUUUUCCUACAGGUUGACAACCAAGGUUUCCCAGUCCCGGAACCCCUUCAGUGUGUCCCCUUGUGAUGUGCAGCUUCCAAUCACUGGAGGGACCCAUAGAAAUUCCAGAUCCUAUAUUUCCAAAAAUCCCAGUUUUAUCUUAGACCACCACUCCUGCAUACAUCCAGCACUUAAGUUCAAUUAGUGUGUGUGUGGCUUAAAAAAAAAAGGGGGGGAGGGGGAAUUUUAUUGAAGAAAGAAUGGAGAUUCAAAACAAAUGUGAGUGAUAAAUACAAAUGGUUACAUACAGAACAAAAUAAUAUAUGAACUGGGUCCUAUAUGUAUUAACAGUUACCUUCCCUACCUAAUAAAGUAGAUUCUCAUCCCCAAAGUUCAGUCUUUUGCAGUGCUUGCUUGCUGUAAGGAGCUAGGACCCAGUGUUUCAUGAAGCACCCCCACUCAUGAAGGUAUUUCCUCAGUGAAUGGAUCUGUAGUGUCUUUCUCCAUCCUGCGAUACCCUGAAGUAGUUUUGUCUUUUAUUCAUGCAGAGGGAUCCCCCUCACUGUCAUGUCAUCCUUCUCACUUCCAAGUGGUGUUGAUGUUGAUAGUGUCUUUGCUGGUUUUCCAUUGACUUUUCUGGGUUGGUGCAAAGGUAAACAGUUGAGCAAUACAUUAGAUAAUUGGCUAGCCAGGGAGGGGGUGACAACUCAAAUGGGCCAUCAUUGAGCCAUUAUUCCUUGGUGACUCACCUUCACUCCAAGACCAUAAGGGCAUAAUUUUCAAUAUGGUUGCAUUAUUCCUUAAAUAUUGCUCAUACCUCUCACAAUGACUGAGUAUUGAUAAGGUACAACCUUUCAGUAGAGACCUCAUAUGCUGCCUUUUGUGGAUAAAUACCAUGAAAGUGAUGUAUUAGGUGUAGUGAGUUUGUCAGGUCUAAGACAGGAGUUGCUUGGAAAGAGUGGUGAACCCUUUGCCAGUUGUCACCAUGGGCCUCUGUGUCACCAGUGAUUUCUACUAGUUCAGUGGUUUGACUUUUUUUAAAGCUUGGCAGCAAAUGUAUUAUUUUUUGUAUUUAAUUUGUUGUUCAAAUAAAUUUAUAAUAAUUUUAGGCCUUAACAUGAGUUGAUGAUUUCAAAUUUAAUUUUAAAUAGGCUUAUUUUAAAGAUAGGCCUGUAUUUAAUUUAAAUUUUUUUUAAAAUCAGAUUUUUUUUUUAUUUUUAUGUACUAAUUUAUUUAAAUCAUUCAUUUUUAUCCACCCUGCGACUGGGAAGGGCUUAGCAGAAGAUUUUCAGGUGGCUUUAAAAAAAAAAAAUGAAAUUUCUCACCUCACUACAGUACCUUGAAUUUUUGUUUAGUGUGUACCAAUAUGUACAUUUUGUCUACUUAAUCUGUAUUUGUAUUGCCUACUCCUGUAGAUUUCUUAAAGAUGUAUUACAAAAUUUUGGAAUUAAAACUGUUUAGGUUAUGCAAUGCAUUAAUGCAAUGAAGUUUUUACCUCUGAAGAACUGGAUUUAUAUCUGGGUUAGAUUUUAUCCUAGGUGUCAUGUCUUCUCUCCCCCCCCCCCAUGAACAACGUUACAUUUUAAUACUACUUUUUUUUUUGCUACUAAACCAUAUGGCUCUCCUAUGCUGAAAGUGCCUGGCCUCCCAAUCACAUAUAAUGCCUCUUCUUUUUUUUUUUUCUUUUUUUUUUCCUUUUCUUUAAAAAAAAAAAAUCUUAUGAUUCUCAACUUUUUUGCAGCAAAUUGGCAGAUGUAGGUAGGAGCAGUGUUCCUCAUGCCAGCAAGUUGUCAUCUCUUCUUUCCCCUGUUUCUGUUUCUGUUCCUGUUUUCUUGGUUCCCUUUUUUCCUUGUCUGUCUGCCUCUUGUUUGUUUGUUUGUUUUCCCUUCUAGGCUGCUCAGAAGGUAUGUGCUAUUCAAGGUGGGAGCUGUCACUUGUUGGUUAAGAGAGGCCAGCUACAUUUGUUUUCUCAAAUGCUGAUCUGAGUGGUAGAGGAAGAAAGAGAAGCUUGGGCAGAGGGGCUUCAGUCUUGCACACCUGGUCUUCUCCCAAGGCAGGCUGCAUUAGUGGCAUCUGCAGGAAGAGAGGAAGAACAAGUGGCUUUAAGGGAGCCACCAAGACAGCUGGUC